Rhagoletis zephyria (snowberry fruit fly) is the source of this 704-nucleotide long non-coding RNA. RefSeq lists it as uncharacterized. The record is from RefSeq and is a predicted model, not a curated record. NCBI's taxonomy places the organism in Eukaryota, Metazoa, Arthropoda, Insecta, Diptera, Tephritidae.
AAUAAUUAUAAACUCUACUAUAAGAGCGAGCACAUCAGAUACAACAAUGGUUAAGGUGGAGACCACCGGACAGCCAAGUAUACUCCUGGUCUCAUCAUACAUGGCCCACGAUAGGGACAGUCCGCCAACCGAAAUCCAGGAGAUAAUAGCCAAAAACCCCAGACAAAUUAUAGUCGUCGGCUGCGAUGCGAAUGCAAGGCAUCCAGUUUGGGGUAGUUCUACGGAGAACGACCGAGGUGAGUCUUUACUACACUUCUUAUUAAAUACUAACUUAAGCAUCUGCAAUAGAGGUAAUACACCCACAUUCAUAUUCCCGAGUUCAAACCGGUUUCCUGGAUGGGAGGAGGUGCUGGAUCUAACCCUGUUGUCAGAGAACGACAGCGUGUCUGUAGAAGAGUGGAGAGUAUCUGAUAGGCCUUCAAUGUCUGAUCACCGUCUGAUCCUCUUUAAUCUGCACGGAAUUUCCAGCACCCCCUCAAAAUACAGAAACCCCCACAGGACUAAUUGGGAAAGAUAUAGUAACACAAUUAAGCAUAAACUAAGUAAGCUCCCACUAAAUACAACUGUCACUACAGUUGAGGACCUUGAUAAUAGAGUAAAUAAACUAGAAGAGGUUAUGAAGAAAGCCUUUGAAAGAUCAACUCCAGUUAGUACAGCAAGAAAGAAAUCCCCACCCUGGUGGAAUGGGGAUCUCAGAGCCCAAA